This is a long non-coding RNA of Neofelis nebulosa (Clouded leopard), 3434 nucleotides long. RefSeq lists it as uncharacterized. The record is from RefSeq and is a predicted model, not a curated record. NCBI's taxonomy places the organism in Eukaryota, Metazoa, Chordata, Mammalia, Carnivora, Felidae. The transcript has 2 exons.
ACAUCAUCCUCACCAUUAUCAAGAAAAAGGUGCCGAUGCUUGGAGCUGAGAUUUAAAGGGUGAACUCAGGCUGGGCUCCAGACAGAACUUGGGGGCUAGGUCCUGGCUCUCACCUCUUUCUGGGGGUCGGACCUCCUGACAGUCAGAUACAUUCCCUUAGAACUGCACACACCAGUAGAUGGUUCUAAUUUUGCAGAUCUAAGUAUCAGGGGAUGCCAGAGCAUGUAAGGGAAGUGUCCAGAUGGGCAGGGCUGAGGAAAGGCUCAGGGAGAUCUGGUCACGGGCGCUGGAGCCCAGCGCCAGUGACAGGCACCGCCUCCCUCCUGGGGUUCCACAACCCAGGGUGCACAGUAGAACCAGGAUGCAAUGUCCACCGGCAGGGUUAUGGGCUUAUCUGAGUCACACUCACGGGGUGGCUGCUUGAGGUCAAUGUAGGCAGCGCUAUGUCCGCACUUCCCACAGGCAAAGCCAAGGCAGAGCUGGGGGCUCACCCACAGGGGAGUGAAUACUGGGUAGAGGGCCCAGGCCUCUGGGGCUCACGAGGCAGACAACAGAAGGGUCAAGGCACUCCCUGCCACUCCGCAACAGCGGGAGGCCUCCACACUGCUGGUGGCUUUGGUGUGGGUACGGGGUGCAGCUUUCAUCAGACUUACAAAGGAGUGAGACAAGCUUAGACUCGUAACUGUCCCCUACAUAGAAGAAGCAAAGGAGGCCCAUCCAGUCACCCCGGAGCCCAGGUCGGCAAGAGUAAAGGGUCAAACAGGGAGACAGGGACAGAGUGCCCUCAUUUAGCAGACAUCCACUGGGCAGGCCCCUGUAAGGGACACCAGGACCAUGGCCAGAGCUGAGACAGGGCUGUCUCAAGCCUGGCAGCUGCAGGUCUCCCGGGUGGCCAGGAUGCCAGCACAACCGCACUCCCGUGGCAGCAUCAGAGACCCAGUCCACACACACAGUGACCCUUAGAAGGCCCAGACAGCCUCAGGCUGCGUAUGCUUCAAAGUGUAAAUAAGGUGGGGCCCUGAGAGAGGGUCAAGGAGCCUCCUCAUACCUUGCAGACCCGGGCCAACUCAUACUGCAAGUCCUUGAUAGUGUUGUUCUUUGAUUCUAGAACAUCCUAAGGAGAGAAAGGUGGAUGUGAGUUAGAGCUUGUCUUUGAGCUGAGGUAGACAGGGAUUGGCAGGGGUCUGGGAGCUCCAGCAGGGGACCUCAGACAUCCAGGGAAUGGCAGCCUGACCCCAUCACGGUGUGCAUCCACACAGGGCGCAGCCAGCCAGCACAGAAAGGUCUUCAGAGGAGAAAGGGAAAAUACCAUCUGCCUCUCCAGAUGGCGACUGUCUAGAUGGUGGGAAGUGAGGAUAAGAGAUUAGAGAAGCCAGGCCAACCAUGGCCCAGGGAAGGCCCCUUGAACCCCUACCUGCUGCCUGGAGGGUUCCUGCCUGGCAAGCCAACAUGAAACACACUUGCGCAAACUGAAGCAGUCAGCAGCCCCUAACUCCGAAGAUCUGUUUCUCCAUGAAGGAAAAGCAGACACACACAGGCACCGUCUAUCCUGGAAGGAUCCAUCUCUGGGACAAGCUGGCCUCUCCUCACUGGGCCUCUCCAUAAAGACAUGCAGACCAGCUGCGUUCUCUGGGGCCAUGCACACCCGCAUCUGUCUCCCAGGCACCCAAGGGCACUGCACCUGGGGUUGUCUCAGGCCUGGCAGCUACAGUAGGUCACCCAGGUGGCCAGGAUCCCUGCACAGCCGCACUCCCGCGGCAGCCCAGAGACCCCUUGUCCAGCCUCACCCGUUCUUUCUGUGACAUGCCCCAACUAGGCCCAGGGAACAGAGACACAAGGCCCAGCUCCAGGCAAGACGGCCUGCCAGGUGCUGUCAGGCUUUUGCUUGCUGAGCCAAAGCUGGCAGCUAUUGCCAGGGUUCCUCAGCUGGCCCCACCAGCCCAUGGGCACCCGGGCCCCAUCUGCCUUGUUUACUGCUGUCCCCAGUGCCCAAGAUGGUUCCAGCAUAGAGGAGCACCACGAGGAACUGUGAACUCGUGGCCUUUGCUCAGACGUAACUCCCUCUGGGAACCCUGCCACAGCACCCGCCACCACAAAGGGGCACCCACAGCCCUGCAUUUCCCUGUCCUAACUGCCCACGGCCCUGCAUUUCCCCGUCCUAACUGCCCACAGCCUACAUCCGGACAUCAAAGCAACCCAGGCAGACUGUGGCAGUAGUCUCAGCUGACAGCUCAUGGGCCUGACUGUCCCCCAGGCCCGUCUCUAGGUUUGCUGCCAAAUUCCCGAGGAGCACCGGCCCACAGCAGCUUGAGAAACCCAGGGCCUGAUAGGCUGAACUAAACCCAUCUCGAGAACUGGACGGGCAGUGGGCUCAGGGCCAGAAGGGCUGAGACGUUAAGGAGGGGACUGCAGAAGACCUCAGACCUGAGCAAAGCCAGUAACAGAGAACCUGGGGAGCCUGAUGGCACACACGGGCCUGUGAGCAGACAUCUGCAGCCCCAUCUAUGCUCAGGCCACAGGAAACCCAUGACCCUCCCAACACCACCUGAGGGCCCCCACCGGAAUGACGGAGGCUGGACACAAACACACGGAACAAGCGACCCCCAACCCAAGCUCAGGACACCUACUGGGGGGCAAGGACAUGAGGCUCCAGCCCAGUACCUCCCCAGGAGCCUGCCUGGGGCCUACCUCCAGCUUGCGGGACACAAGGGUCAGGGCAGCAGGGUCCAGGUUGGAGGCCGCCAGCACCUCAUUAAUCUGCACCUCUUUCUUCUCCACAGCAGCGCUCAGCGCCUGCAGCUUCCGCUCCAGAACCAGGUUCUUGAAGCCCACCUUCUGCUGCACCUCCAGGAUGGCCGCGGUGAACUUCCUGUACAGCUCAUCCCGCUCCUGCUGUACCUGCAAGGGACAGGCUGCAGUGGACAAAGAGGCCACCUCCCCCGGAAGCAUCUCACUGGUCGGAAGCCCCCUCCCGCCUCUUCCCUGGGCCAGCACAUACCAGUUCUGCCGAGUGAACUCCAUUCACCAGUGCCCACCCACGGAUGGGGGGGCUGGGUGUCAUUUACACUGCCGCCACACUCACUCUCUGUGACGGGAUUAAAGGGCUGCAGCCAUCCACACUGUGGAAAGCAGGAGGAAACACUAACUGGACCCUUGUCUACUAAGGUGUCUCAGGAGGUAGGAGGGCACCCUCGUUAGAGCUGGAGAAGCCCCACAGAGAGGCUGGGGCCCUGGGUUUGUUCAGUAGGCUCAGGAAAGUCAUGUCCCUGAUCACCCCUACGUCACAUCCAAGGCAUCAAACUCCAGCAGGCAAUGCUUGGGAGUGGGGCCCGUGGGGAUCCGUCCACUCCCUCUGCCAGCCCUGGAUCCUAGAACAUGCCCCACGAGGCAGAUCUGGAGACCAGCCUGUCAAUAGAUAGAAGUGUUCUUUUUCA